This 102-nucleotide microRNA precursor is filed under the name Marmota monax (woodchuck). Lineage: Eukaryota; Metazoa; Chordata; Mammalia; Rodentia; Sciuridae. The record is from RNAcentral.
AGUGGGAUUACUGGGUCAAAUGGUGCUUCCAUUCCAAGUUUUCUGAGCAAUCUUCACACUGCUUUCCAGAGUGGUUGCACCAACUGUAGUCCCACCAGAAAU